RNAcentral lists this ribosomal RNA (683 nucleotides) under Staphylococcus aureus. RNAcentral describes it as "bacterial SSU rRNA". It matches the Rfam family "Bacterial small subunit ribosomal RNA", at positions 53 to 718 of the family's 1533-position model. Lineage: Bacteria; Bacillati; Bacillota; Bacilli; Caryophanales; Staphylococcaceae. The record is from RNAcentral.
ACAUGCAAGUCGAGCGAACGGACGAGAAGCUUGCUUCUCUGAUGUUAGCGGCGGACGGGUGAGUAACACGUGGAUAACCUACCUAUAAGACUGGGAUAACUUCGGGAAACCGGAGCUAAUACCGGAUAAUAUUUUGAACCGCAUGGUUCAAAAGUGAAAGACGGUCUUGCUAUCACUUAUAGAUGGAUCCGCGCUGCAUUAGCUAGUUGGUAAGGUAACGGCUUACCAAGGCAACGAUGCAUAGCCGACCUGAGAGGGUGAUCGGCCACACUGGAACUGAGACACGGUCCAGACUCCUACGGGAGGCAGCAGUAGGGAAUCUUCCGCAAUGGGCGAAAGCCUGACGGAGCAACGCCGCGUGAGUGAUGAAGGUCUUCGGAUCGUAAAACUCUGUUAUUAGGGAAGAACAUAUGUGUAAGUAACUGUGCACAUCUUGACGGUACCUAAUCAGAAAGCCACGGCUAACUACGUGCCAGCAGCCGCGGUAAUACGUAGGUGGCAAGCGUUAUCCGGAAUUAUUGGGCGUAAAGCGCGCGUAGGCGGUUUUUUAAGUCUGAUGUGAAAGCCCACGGCUCAACCGUGGAGGGUCAUUGGAAACUGGAAAACUUGAGUGCAGAAGAGGAAAGUGGAAUUCCAUGUGUAGCGGUGAAAUGCGCAGAGAUAUGGAGGAACACCAGUGGCGA